CCCCUCUCAGGGUCGCACCUGGAGAGUUUCCAGUACUCUACGAGCCUUGGCUAUGGGAGGGAGAGUCAAGCAGAGGCCUACCAAUUCCAUUCCUAGCUUGAACAUUGGCUAGCGAGUGGAAAGCAAUCUGCUACGAGU
Small nucleolar RNA from Tachyglossus aculeatus (Australian echidna), 138 nucleotides. Lineage: Eukaryota; Metazoa; Chordata; Mammalia; Monotremata; Tachyglossidae. The record is from RefSeq and is a predicted model, not a curated record.